Molecule: unclassified non-coding RNA, 336 nt
Filed under: soil metagenome
Description: partial contains 5.8S ribosomal RNA, internal transcribed spacer 2, and large subunit ribosomal RNA
Rfam family: 5.8S ribosomal RNA (bases 5-119)
Source: RNAcentral
GAUGAGAACGCAGCGAAAUGCGAUAAGUAAUGUGAAUUGCAGAAUUCAGUGAAUCAUCGAAUCUUUGAACGCACAUUGCGCCCCUUGGUAUUCCAUGGGGCAUGCCUGUUCGAGCGUCAUUUGUACCUUCAAGCUCUGCUUGGUGUUGGGUGUUUGUCUCGCCUCUGCGUGUAGACUCGCCUCAAAACAAUUGGCAGCCGGCGUAUUGAUUUCGGAGCGCAGUACAUCUCGCGCUUUGCACUCAUAACGACGACGUCCAAAAGUACAUUUUUACACUCUUGACCUCGGAUCAGGUAGGGAUACCCGCUGAACUUAAGCAUAUCAAUAAGCGGAGGA